RNAcentral lists this long non-coding RNA (732 nucleotides) under Androctonus crassicauda. The record is from RNAcentral. Lineage: Eukaryota; Metazoa; Arthropoda; Arachnida; Scorpiones; Buthidae.
AUGAUCAGUUAAGUAUAAAAGUAUUCUGAAAAAUUUAACCUUUGUAAAAAUUGUAUACUAUUAUACUGCAGCAUUUAUUUUUGACCAGUUUACAGUUUAACAACAAUACUGUAUUUGGAAAAUUAACAAAAAUAAUAAUCUUUGGUACAGUUAUAUAAAACUUGGACCAAAACAGAAAUUUUCUUUCCAUUGAGUAGGUUAAAAAUUUUCAUACCAUAAAGAAUAAAUGAUCAAAGUAAAUAACUAAAUUGUUAUUUAUAGAAUUAAUGUUUUUGGAAAAUGAUGUAGUAAAUAAUAGUUUGAACUUCGUACAGUUGGCUGUGCAAUCUUGCAUAGGUUUUACUGAUCAGACAAUGAAUUGGAAGGCAAGGUAUGGUUGUAAUAUUGAUCAAGCCAAAUUUGAAUCAGUGCUGCUUACCAAAGACUUCAUGCAUUUGAGUCUGAGUGCAUUUUUUGUGUGUACAUCACCACCAAAAGGAUUAAGCAAACAUUGUGACUAUUGAAAGCUUGUUCAACUUAAAACAUGAUACAAAGCAGAUGAAGAUUAAUGAUUUUUUAAAAUGUAAUGCAACUUGGAUUUAAUAGAAAAAACAUCAUUGAUGCCCUUUUAUUGAUAUAGUAAAUAUAUAUAUGUAAAUGUGCUUGUUAUAUACAGGAAUACUUUGCUUAGUGCGGCUUCACUCAGUGCUGACCCCGCUAUAUUACGGUUAGUAAUUUGAAGAAUAAAUUUCA